GUUUUCUCAAUGAUAACUUGGCAGGAGAAGGGGGAAGCGGCCGGGUUUUUUGCUUGGGCUCGUUUACCGGGGUGACGAUCAGCGCUAGGCCAGCCUCGCUGGGCACCGCCACGUCCCACCUGGAGAAAUAAAGCACACACGCAAAAAAAAAAA
This is a long non-coding RNA of Cygnus atratus (black swan), 153 nucleotides long. RefSeq lists it as uncharacterized. Lineage: Eukaryota; Metazoa; Chordata; Aves; Anseriformes; Anatidae. The transcript has 2 exons. The record is from RefSeq and is a predicted model, not a curated record.